This is a long non-coding RNA of Carassius auratus (goldfish), 277 nucleotides long. RefSeq lists it as uncharacterized. The transcript has 3 exons. NCBI's taxonomy places the organism in Eukaryota, Metazoa, Chordata, Actinopteri, Cypriniformes, Cyprinidae. The record is from RefSeq and is a predicted model, not a curated record.
AUAUAUGUAACAUAGUUAAAAAGGUUCAGGUUAAAUCCUACUAAAUGUGAGUAUGGUGCCACCUACUGUCACAAAGUGUACCUGCAGCGAACGCUAGUAAUGACGAAGGAUUAUGGGUAAUCCUCAAAGUAAUGGAGGAUUUCCCUUGAGAAAGAUCAUGCGCUGUUUAUCCACAUGAGAUGACUACUCAACACUGUUUUCCUUUGUCAUAAAUGCAGAUGUGGAAUAAACCUGCUGUUACCACAAACCUGACGGUGUCCGAGAGAGUAUAUUAGGC